GACGAACGCUGGCGGCGUGCCUAACACAUGCAAGUCGAACGGAAAGGCCCUGCUUGUGUGGUGUUCUCGAGUGGCGAACGGGUGAGUAACACGUGAGUAACCUGCCCUGGACUUUGGGAUAACUUCAGGAAACUGGGGCUAAUACCGGAUAGGAGCUCCUGCUGCAUGGUGUGGGGUGGAAAGUUUCGGCGGCUGGGGAUGGACGCGCGGCUUAUGAGCUUGUUGGUGGGGUAGUGGCUGCCCAAGGGUUUGACGGGUAGCCGGCCUGAGAGGGUGACCGGCCACAUUGGCCCUGAGGUACGGGCCAGACGGCUACGUGAGGCAGGGGUGGGAAACAUUGCACGCUGGGCGGAAGCAUGGUACAGCAUCGCCGCGUGGGGGAUGACUGUUUUUAGGUUGUAACCCGCUUUCGCGUGUGACGAAGAGUGAGUGACGGUAAUGGAUAAAGAAGCACCGGCUAACUACGUG
This 468-nucleotide ribosomal RNA is filed under the name uncultured bacterium. RNAcentral describes it as "partial 16S ribosomal RNA". It matches the Rfam family "Bacterial small subunit ribosomal RNA", at positions 28 to 507 of the family's 1533-position model. The record is from RNAcentral.